RNAcentral lists this ribosomal RNA (594 nucleotides) under Escherichia coli. RNAcentral describes it as "bacterial LSU rRNA". It matches the Rfam family "Bacterial large subunit ribosomal RNA", at positions 106 to 742 of the family's 2925-position model. The record is from RNAcentral. Lineage: Bacteria; Pseudomonadati; Pseudomonadota; Gammaproteobacteria; Enterobacterales; Enterobacteriaceae.
GGCGAUUUCCGAAUGGGGAAACCCAGUGUGAUUCGUCACACUAUCAUUAACUGAAUCCAUAGGUUAAUGAGGCGAACCGGGGGAACUGAAACAUCUAAGUACCCCGAGGAAAAGAAAUCAACCGAGAUUCCCCCAGUAGCGGCGAGCGAACGGGGAGCAGCCCAGAGCCUGAAUCAGUGUGUGUGUUAGUGGAAGCGUCUGGAAAGGCGYGCGAUACAGGGUGACAGCCCCGUACACAAAAAUGCACAURCUGUGAGCUCGAUGAGUAGGGCGGGACACGUGGUAUCCUGUCUGAAUAUGGGGGGACCAUCCUCCAAGGCUAAAUACUCCUGACUGACCGAUAGUGAACCAGUACCGUGAGGGAAAGGCGAAAAGAACCCCGGCGAGGGGAGUGAAAAAGAACCUGAAACCGUGUACGUACAAGCAGUGGGAGCACAGAGCAAUCUGUGUGACUGCGUACCUUUUGUAUAAUGGGUCAGCGACUUAUAUUCUGUAGCAAGGUUAACCGAAUAGGGGAGCCGAAGGGAAACCGAGUCUUAACUGGGCGUUAAGUUGCAGGGUAUAGACCCGAAACCCGGUGAUCUAGCCAUGGGC